RNAcentral lists this long non-coding RNA (1138 nucleotides) under Homo sapiens (human). RNAcentral describes it as "non-protein coding ADAMTS19-AS1:7". The record is from RNAcentral. Lineage: Eukaryota; Metazoa; Chordata; Mammalia; Primates; Hominidae.
AUUUCCAAGCUCACAGUCCAUAGAUACAGGGCGCUCGCGUUGAAUGCAAUGGAGACCACCCGUCUAGACCCUGAAACUCUGCAACCCCAGAAGCCUUGCGAUCAGAUUACAGACCCCAGCAUUUUCAGAGUAAAAGUACGAUUAUAUUAGGGGCGGGGGAGGGGGAAUCAAAGUUUGGUGACCGCACUUCAUUGUUGAAAAGAAAACCGAUGCAAAGACUCCAGCACGAGUAAACGAUUUCUGAAGUGUAUGCUAGAGCAGAGCGUUGCUAUCAACUUAGGUACGUUCUAAUUUUCCUCCAGGUGCUGUAAACGUACCUUUGCAAAUAUUAUUGCUCUAAUUAGAAGGAAACUAUUCCACAUACGGUUAAAACGAGGCCGGCAGAAGUGUGCUUCAUUUCCGAACUUGACCCCUUAACCUGCACCUCAAGCUCAUUUUUAUUGCUACCCACUGAGCCCUGCUCUCCACGCACCGGUUGCACCAGCCCUGCCGACCCGUACGUUCGCGGUCUCCGCUGGGAUGGCUGGAAAGGAAGCGAGAAAGUCACGGAAGAACUUACCUGAAACGAUCCCAUUCGACAGGAACCCCAGCUGGUAAAGGAGGCAGCAGCAGCAGAUGAGUUUCCGAGGCCGAGCAGGCUAGUGCUGGAGCCCCACAAGACAGACCCACAGCCAGCCGAGAGCCGGGAGUGCUGCCUCUGGACAGGCAGAGGACUGCCCGGCGCGGGCAGGAGAGCUGUGGUGUCCGAGCCGAGGCUCGCCGCCUGCACCCGCGCGGAACGGGCGGAGGCUGGUGUCACAGUCUCAGCAACUUGGUGUGCCAAGCUCCGCACACUCCUCACGCUCCUUAGGACGCACCGCUGAAGGCUCUCACCCGCAGCGGCGCGGGAGGGAAUGAGUAGGGAGAUGGGAAGACACGACUAGAGAGGUGGGUUGUAGAGCAGAAAAGAAUCAAGCACAUCUGACCAGAAAAAGGGACCAAGGGGUGCCCGCCAAGCGUGACUUUGCGGGACAAAGGUCCCAGAACACCGUGCACGUGCUCAAACGCCGGUUGGGAUGGGGUGGGGACCCAAAAUCCCUCACCUGACUAUUGAUUGGCCACUCGGGAAGGCCUGAUUUGCAUCCAUCCCCUGCCCCCG